UUUUAUGACAAAAUAUUUUGUACUCCAGAUGCGAAAAAUGUGUGACAUCAUGGAUUUUUUAGACAGUUAUACAUUUAUCUCACAUUUAUAGAGCAUAUCAUGGCUGUGUAUAGUUGCCGCUUAAGAAUUGUAAUCGACCAGCAAUAUUUUCAGUAUUUUGGUGUUUUUUCUAUUAACCUUUCAUGUUUUUCAUCUUCCAAUUAAUAUUGGGGGGAGGGGAUACAAAUUUAUACGAAUUAUGCAAUACCAAGUUUUGCCUAUGUAGGUAGUGCUUUUAGCUGUAUUGGUUAUUAUAGGUAAGUACACAGAUUUAAAAAAAAAUAAUGUAUGCUUUUUUUGUUUGUUUUAAUUGACCAAAGUGGGUACUGCUAUUUUUGCAGUGUGAUGAGGUCCUUUUCUGUACUGAGAGGUGGACAGGGGAUUUUUUUUUAUACAUACAUAUAUAUAUAUUCUGGGGUGGGGGGGGAGGAUUUUUAACACUUUACAGUGUAGCUGUGAAGCAGUGCACCCUUAGCCAGGCAAGGGCUGCAAAGCAACUGUUCUGCCUACUGUGACAAACUUUCAAACAGGUUCCCUCUUUUUAACUUCCCACCUGGGGUGCAAGCUGAAAUCAUUUCCGGAUUUAAAAAAUAAGUAAUGAAUUCUGUUGGAGGCAGACUUGACUUGAGGAAAUUGUUUUACUUCAAGGUUUUUUUCAUGAGAAAGAGAGACAUACAGAGAAAGAGGUCAAGACCCACAGUGAGAUGAAGCCUUUUCCAUUCUGGCAAAGAUAAUGCAUCCUGAAGUGUUCAUGUUAGAAAAUGUUUUUAGCUCAGAAUGACAAAGACAUUUACUUUGUCUAGGAAAUGUAAGUGCAGGGCCAAAAUCUUUUCUGGCGUAAUUCCACUGACUCCAAUGGACUCUGGGGCUGUUCAAGCUGAGAAUUUGCCCUCCUUAUUCUGCUUGGCUUUUUUCCUAUACAUAAGUUCUUUCAUAGUCCAUUCCCCUCUCACCCCUCCAAGUUUCUUAAUUCAGCAUUUGAAUUACAAUUUUCAGCUUGGUUGGGCUAUGUCAGAAGUUUGCAGUCUUCUCAUAGAGAUCAGAUGGAGACCUCUGGGGGGUAGUGGAGGAGGAGUUUCUUUACGCAAGGAAUUAGACCAUGGUGGUAAUAAAAGUGUGUUUCCAGCAAAAUCCCAUUUUGCAGACCAGUAAUGGACCUAUUGCUGGUGAUCCCUUUCAGACAGGGACCUUUGAAAUGCAUGGCUCAACGCAGGGUGAAGUUUUCUUUAAAACUAGGGUAAAAGCAGAGGCACGUAUAGUCAUGUGGAUGGAAAAUUCAUCCCUUUACAGUUGUCUCUGCGUUUUGGAGGUUUUCCUACCCUGGAGCAGUCCCAGAGGCACAGAUCCAGCAGCAGCUACCCCAAUGAGCCCUGGUCAGGGGCAUUCCACUGUCAGUCCCUUCUGGCUCCAGCUGAAGGGCUGUAAGAGCAGUAGUGAUGGCACAUCCCCCUGCCUCCAGGAGGAGAGAGUGUGUAGGCAGGGCUUGAAUGGCUACAGAGAUGGGAAUUGUAGGAAAAUAAACCUUUGAGAUUUAGCUAAACUGGAAAAAAAAAAAGAGAAAGAUAAGACACAGACACAAAAAGAAACGGGGUCUUUGGUUCUUUUUUAGAACCCUCCAGUAAGUCAAUUUGUUUGCUAAGCACACGGCAAAGUCUGCUAGACCCAAGCACAGUGCACCUCAGGCUUUGGCCUAGUAAAACAAAAUAUGUGCUGUCCUUUACAUAUAUCAUGACACAGAGCAGUCUGGAAGCAGAGUUGUGCUGGGGGCAUGUCCUUGAUUAGUUCCAUUAACAAGGUGUUCCCUGAAAGCUUUUAAUACCACGUUGGGACAAAACUGGAACAAGUUCAGGCUUCAACAUGAAAUUUCCAGAAUGGUGAUUGUCUUUCAUAGGGAUAUAGAUGCCCUUAACAGAGCUUAUAUAUAUAUAUUUUUUUUUUUAAUCUGGCCUCCUGUAUGAAAGAAAUCUGAGCUAAAAGAUGCACUUUUUUAGUGAAUUAACUCAUUUAAACUGGGUUAUUCAGCAGCUGUGGGUUUUUGUCACCUGCCUCUUUAAUAGAAAUGCCUGCUUGGAAGAUAAUGAACUUUUCAUUUACUGUAUGCUUGGUUUUAGGUUGGAUUUUUUGGUUCUUUUUUUUUUAAGCCCAACAGUCAAAAGAUUAAGAUAAGAUUGAGAACUCAAAUCCAGUCUCUGGCCUCCUCCUUCACCAGGAAGUGUAUUCUGACUAAAUUGAGCCACCCCGUUCUAUGUGCACUGUUCUGCCUUUAUUAAGUUGCUUUGCAGCCCUGGCCUCAUGGCUGUGCCACUGAAGUGUGUUUCCCCUGGAGUGACAUGAACGCUUGAGGCUUGAUUAAGGAAAAAAAAGGCAGUGAAGGAGACUGUACAUAAAGACAUGGCAAAAAUAUUAAUUAUAGCAAUAUAGUUGUGGGGUGAUGUUCAGGUGGGCAGCUCCAUUGAAAAUAUGUGAAUGAAUUUGUGAAGCUGCAAGUAGCAAGAAGAAAGGAUGAUCUUCUGACUAAACCACCUACCUUGUAGACAGUAAUUUUUACACUGUAUAGUUUUGUUAAGAAUUUUUUUUUAAUUAAAAUACCCUUGUUUGUAAAGCUAACUUUUAACAAUUAUAAUGGAAAUGAAUUUCCAUUUUUAAACAAGAAUAUUCUUUGUUUAGAAACUGGACUUGGGUUAAAACUCUCCAGUUUCUUAAUUUAUGUAUUAAAAAAAUAAAAAUCUGUCCAUGUUAGGAGUUAUUUCGCAUAUUCCUGUGCUUGAAAAGCAUAGGUUACUAAUCCUUUAAAAAUGUAAAUGGAGAAAAUUAUAUUUUAUGAAGGUUAUUUUGUUGUAUUUAGUAUUGGAAAAGUUGGUUUUCAGAGCAUUUCAAAAUGUUGGAAGCACCACUGUCUUUUUUAUUAGUAUAUAUGGCCUUUAGCAAAAGUUUUUGUGAUUGUUACAUGAUGGUAUUUAAGAUUAGGUUCACAGAGCUAUUCAGGAUAGGCAGAGAGCUAAAACAGUACUUAAGUCUCACACAGCUGUGUCCUCAGGGAGCAGAAUUUUGGAUUUGCAACUUGUAGCUUCAUAAGGACUUAAUGAAAGAGAUUGCACAAAGACAUCUGUGACACCAGAGUGUGUUCUGUACCUAAACCUAAAUUAUAUGUACUGUGUGAGAUUAUGAAGGCUGCAGAAAGUUAUCCCAUAUUCAGUGUACAGUUUUCACUUUUAAGGAAAAAACUCUCUAAUGUUGCUGGCAGUAAGGCCCCAAGCGUGACAUCCUUUAUGGUUUAUAUGAUCCUGUCGAGGUCUUUUGUUAACGUUAACCAGCUGUAUGCUCCUGGAUUUUUUUUAUUGAGUUUCUAUAUAAAACUUUAGGAGAAAAAAAAAAAGAGAGUAAAAUCACAUGCCAGCUAAUCGAGUUAAACAGGAAAGGCUCAAAGCUGAAUGUUCUCCAUGCUGAAGGAGCCGAAAACCACCUCCUUCUUAUUUGCACUUUCUGCUAGUUCCCCAGUUUUAUUAAUUCCUCAAAAUUGUGUGGGUGGGGUGGAGCACUGCAGUUGGAGGAUAACAUGGACCACUGAUUUUGCCCUUUAACCCUGCACAAUGACCUUUGCAUCAGCCAAACUUAUUGCCAUGACAACUCUUUGUACUGUUUCCAUGCCACAGCUCUGUUGGUCACGUUGUCAAUAGUAAAGGGGACAAGUUGGAGACGGUCAAUUUUUACAUUUUUUUUGUUGCAAUUUUUUUCUUCAAUGGUUGUAAGUAGUUGUUUGGUUUUUUUUAUGAUAAAAGGGUUCACUAGUUAGUAUUCUUUAGAAAUAUCUGUGUGUUGCAAUUCAGAUGUAUGUUGAAUUUGUGAAAAGGGCUUCAGUGCCACUAGCAUCAUGAAUAGAAUAAGCCUUUGAUACUUUCAUUGCAUGAAACCGUAACAGUAAAACAAAAGGUGGCCUGAAUAAAUGGAGAGCCGUGUGAGCUAGUGACACUAAAGCCAGUCUUUGUAUUACUGUAUUUUUGACAGAAUGAUUUUGAAAACUGUGCUACAGGGACUGAUGUGGCAAAUGUAUCUCUAUAUGCAGAAGGAAGUUUUUUAAGAAGUAUGGCUUAUUAUGCAUUUUUCAUUGAGGGCAUUGAAGUUGCAUGGACUGAUAGAAGUUGAUGCAAAAUGAGAAAGAAACAAAACCAGCAAAAUGUUUACCAAAAAACUCAAACAAAUGAGCAGUGCCUGUUCAAUUUCACAGUCUCUGUUGAGUUCAGUUGUAAAUAUGUUUCAGAUAACAUUUUCUUCAAAAAUAAUCUCUACAACAUUGUAGAAUGUGAGAGGUUCCUCAAUCCCAGGCAUAGGCUUGUCAAGAGCUGCAUUAGAUUAUGUCUUCAUCAAGCUGUUAAUUUGUGCUUAUAUCAUAUAGAACUUUUAGUAAUCUGGGAAGAGGCACCCCAUCUCAAUGAUAUUUCACUGAGAAAACUUUUUUAGGGCUGUGUGUUUCUUUAGAUACAUUUAGUACAACUGUAGGUGACAAGUAGUCAGUUAUUGCUUGCUAGCUACAUACCAGGGUUGAUCCAUUUUAAAACUUUUGGCAUUUUUCCCCAUACUGUAGGCCAUAAAUCCUGAAGGUUACAUUUUAAUUAAAAAGAAGGUGCGUGCGGAGUCUUUGUGUAAUGAACCUUCACUAGUAGGAUGCAUUACAGUACAGUUACUUAAUUUUGGAAUUAGGGCCCUCUGGCAUCAGACCUGAUUUUAGCCUGAGUGUUAACAAAGGUUUUUAUUGUGCCUGGUUGGAGGAUAAAGUGUUCUUUCUGGUACUUUUUUUUUUAGGUUACAAAUGAACUCAACUGCCACAAGUUUUAAACUGGUGUAAAUCAAGCUUGACUUAAUGUGAUUGUUACUGUUAUAUCCAGCCUAUACUGCUAGCAGCUGCUCAUACUGCAGUCAAUUACUGGAAGCGGAUAUAUUUCCUAUGCAAAAACUGUUUAAAC
Long non-coding RNA from Taeniopygia guttata (zebra finch), 5000 nucleotides. Lineage: Eukaryota; Metazoa; Chordata; Aves; Passeriformes; Estrildidae. The record is from Ensembl.